This 29-nucleotide non-coding RNA is filed under the name Homo sapiens (human). The record is from RNAcentral. Lineage: Eukaryota; Metazoa; Chordata; Mammalia; Primates; Hominidae.
UCCUACAGAAGGUGGAGCCGAGGAUUGUC